AAAUGACCCACGAGAGGCAGCCAGAGGCAGUGACGGGGAAGGAGAGGAGGGGAAGAGGAACUUCUCUGCAAAGAAUCGCACUAAAGUAAGUGCAAGUAAAAAUAAAUCCACAUAUAAAACAACUGUACAAAUGUUAGCAGUAUUUUCACAGCUGGGUUUCUUUGCCUAAAAUACUUAGCACUUACUUUAGAAAACUCACUUCUAAACAUAAAUGGUCUGACUGAUCACAGAAGCUGAACCCUGAUACAACUCUGACUUUGAACUUGACUUCUGCCCAGAUGGGAAUAAAAAUAAUGACUUCUUCUAAGUAAGAACCUUAAUUGCCAUGAAUUCACACCAGACUGUGGUGGGUGACCUUUACCUCACAUAUGAGGAAAUUAAGGUAGGGCUUGGUUUAGGAAGCUAGAUUCAUAACAGUCAGCAUAUUUAUAUCCAGAUUAGGCAGGACUCUGGAUUUAAAACACUUUCCCUUGGAAAACACCGACUCUGUCUGUUUCCAUGGCACUAAAAACACCCCACUUGAAUAACUGCCCAGUUACUUAUCAUAGCAGGAUUAGUGGUCUUCUCAAGGCAUCUGCAUUCACAUUCCUGGUAUUUAUUUCCUGUAGAUAUUGGUUUCAAAGACUGAUGCCACAGGACAUGAAUAAUCACGGUGACUCACUUUUAGGGACUUUCCCCUGGGGAGUGCCACCUACAGAGCCUCAGAAUGAAGUGGGCACAUAUUAAUUAAAAUAUGUUUCAUCUCCAAAUGACUAUGACAGAAGCUAUACUGAUGAAUAUGACAACUAAAUACAAAAUAAUACCGCAAUGACUAGCAAUGAUUCAAAUAUUGUGCUCAUGAUGUUAUCUUUCAUCCAUUUAUUUAAUAAAUGGAUUUAUAUAAUGAGUGACGGGACUUCUAUGUGUCAGAGUGCUGGUUAGGACAGGCCAUGUUUCAAUAAAUUUACAACC
RNAcentral lists this long non-coding RNA (951 nucleotides) under Homo sapiens (human). RNAcentral describes it as "non-protein coding lnc-DUSP10-11:1". Lineage: Eukaryota; Metazoa; Chordata; Mammalia; Primates; Hominidae. The record is from RNAcentral.